Molecule: non-coding RNA, 24 nt
Filed under: Arabidopsis thaliana (thale cress)
Lineage: Eukaryota; Viridiplantae; Streptophyta; Magnoliopsida; Brassicales; Brassicaceae
Source: RNAcentral
UGAGGUAUCCUGAUGGAUCUGUCC